AUACCUCAACCUCUACAUUUUCUUGUAAAGUGUAGCAGCGUUGGAUGCUGAGCGCUGCUGUAGCCUUUGAGCACAGCUCGCUUCAAAUGCAUAAGCAAUCUUUGUACUCCUCGGAUUGACUCGACGUGAUAAGAUCUUCGUUGAGGAUGCUUUCAAUAGCAGCCGGAUUGUACAUUAGUCGCUUCUAAACCGAGUCGCCUUGUGCGAUGCUCCUUUAAA
This 219-nucleotide unclassified non-coding RNA is filed under the name uncultured Pucciniomycetes. Its description in RNAcentral is "sequence contains ITS2". Lineage: Eukaryota; Fungi; Basidiomycota; Pucciniomycetes. The record is from RNAcentral.